This 259-nucleotide ribosomal RNA is filed under the name uncultured bacterium. RNAcentral's name for it is "partial 16S ribosomal RNA". It matches the Rfam family "Bacterial small subunit ribosomal RNA", at positions 76 to 334 of the family's 1533-position model. The record is from RNAcentral.
UACUUCGGUAUGGAUGACGACCGGCGCACGGGUGAGUAACGCGUACAUAACCUACCUUCAAGAGGGGGAUAGCCCUGGGAAACUGGGAGUAAACCGCCAUGUGGUUACGAAUUUAAAAGAGAUCGUAAUUAAAACUUAGGUGCUUGAAGAUGGGUGUGCGUUCCAUUAGUUAGUUGGUGAGGUAACGGCUCACCAAGACGACGAUGGGUAGGGGGCGUGAGAGCGUGAUCCCCCACACGGGUACUGAGACACGGACCCG